RNAcentral lists this ribosomal RNA (2903 nucleotides) under Escherichia coli KTE187. Its description in RNAcentral is "bacterial LSU rRNA". It matches the Rfam family "Bacterial large subunit ribosomal RNA". RNAcentral also lists the same sequence under 1 other name. The record is from RNAcentral. Lineage: Bacteria; Pseudomonadati; Pseudomonadota; Gammaproteobacteria; Enterobacterales; Enterobacteriaceae.
UUAAGCGACUAAGCGUACACGGUGGAUGCCCUGGCAGUCAGAGGCGAUGAAGGACGUGCUAAUCUGCGAUAAGCGUCGGUGAGGUGAUAUGAACCGUUAUAACCGGCGAUUUCCGAAUGGGGAAACCCAGUGUGUUUCGACACACUAUCAUUAACUGAAUCCAUAGGUUAAUGAGGCGAACCGGGGGAACUGAAACAUCUAAGUACCCCGAGGAAAAGAAAUCAACCGAGAUUCCCCCAGUAGCGGCGAGCGAACGGGGAGGAGCCCAGAGCCUGAAUCAGUGUGUGUGUUAGUGGAAGCGUCUGGAAAGGCGUGCGAUACAGGGUGACAGCCCCGUACACAAAAAUGCACAUAUUGUGAGCUCGAUGAGUAGGGCGGGACACGUGGUAUCCUGUCUGAAUAUGGGGGGACCAUCCUCCAAGGCUAAAUACUCCUGACUGACCGAUAGUGAACCAGUACCGUGAGGGAAAGGCGAAAAGAACCCCGGCGAGGGGAGUGAAAAAGAACCUGAAACCGUGUACGUACAAGCAGUGGGAGCCUCUUUUAUGGGGUGACUGCGUACCUUUUGUAUAAUGGGUCAGCGACUUAUAUUCUGUAGCAAGGUUAACCGAAUAGGGGAGCCGAAGGGAAACCGAGUCUUAACUGGGCGUUAAGUUGCAGGGUAUAGACCCGAAACCCGGUGAUCUAGCCAUGGGCAGGUUGAAGGUUGGGUAACACUAACUGGAGGACCGAACCGACUAAUGUUGAAAAAUUAGCGGAUGACUUGUGGCUGGGGGUGAAAGGCCAAUCAAACCGGGAGAUAGCUGGUUCUCCCCGAAAGCUAUUUAGGUAGCGCCUCGUGAAUUCAUCUCCGGGGGUAGAGCACUGUUUCGGCAAGGGGGUCAUCCCGACUUACCAACCCGAUGCAAACUGCGAAUACCGGAGAAUGUUAUCACGGGAGACACACGGCGGGUGCUAACGUCCGUCGUGAAGAGGGAAACAACCCAGACCGCCAGCUAAGGUCCCAAAGUCAUGGUUAAGUGGGAAACGAUGUGGGAAGGCCCAGACAGCCAGGAUGUUGGCUUAGAAGCAGCCAUCAUUUAAAGAAAGCGUAAUAGCUCACUGGUCGAGUCGGCCUGCGCGGAAGAUGUAACGGGGCUAAACCAUGCACCGAAGCUGCGGCAGCGACACUAUGUGUUGUUGGGUAGGGGAGCGUUCUGUAAGCCUGUGAAGGUGGCCUGUGAGGGUUGCUGGAGGUAUCAGAAGUGCGAAUGCUGACAUAAGUAACGAUAAAGCGGGUGAAAAGCCCGCUCGCCGGAAGACCAAGGGUUCCUGUCCAACGUUAAUCGGGGCAGGGUGAGUCGACCCCUAAGGCGAGGCCGAAAGGCGUAGUCGAUGGGAAACAGGUUAAUAUUCCUGUACUUGGUGUUACUGCGAAGGGGGGACGGAGAAGGCUAUGUUGGCCGGGCGACGGUUGUCCCGGUUUAAGCGUGUAGGCUGGUUUUCCAGGCAAAUCCGGAAAACCAAGGCUGAGGCGUGAUGACGAGGCACUACGGUGCUGAAGCGACAAAUGCCCUGCUUCCAGGAAAAGCCUCUAAGCAUCAGGUAACAUCAAAUCGUACCCCAAACCGACACAGGUGGUCAGGUAGAGAAUACCAAGGCGCUUGAGAGAACUCGGGUGAAGGAACUAGGCAAAAUGGUGCCGUAACUUCGGGAGAAGGCACGCUGAUAUGUAGGUGAAGCGACUUGCUCGUGGAGCUGAAAUCAGUCGAAGAUACCAGCUGGCUGCAACUGUUUAUUAAAAACACAGCACUGUGCAAACACGAAAGUGGACGUAUACGGUGUGACGCCUGCCCGGUGCCGGAAGGUUAAUUGAUGGGGUUAGCGGUAACGCGAAGCUCUUGAUCGAAGCCCCGGUAAACGGCGGCCGUAACUAUAACGGUCCUAAGGUAGCGAAAUUCCUUGUCGGGUAAGUUCCGACCUGCACGAAUGGCGUAAUGAUGGCCAGGCUGUCUCCACCCGAGACUCAGUGAAAUUGAACUCGCUGUGAAGAUGCAGUGUACCCGCGGCAAGACGGAAAGACCCCGUGAACCUUUACUAUAGCUUGACACUGAACAUUGAGCCUUGAUGUGUAGGAUAGGUGGGAGGCUUUGAAGUGUGGACGCCAGUCUGCAUGGAGCCGACCUUGAAAUACCACCCUUUAAUGUUUGAUGUUCUAACGUUGGCCCGUAAUCCGGGUUGCGGACAGUGUCUGGUGGGUAGUUUGACUGGGGCGGUCUCCUCCUAAAGAGUAACGGAGGAGCACGAAGGUUGGCUAAUCCUGGUCGGACAUCAGGAGGUUAGUGCAAUGGCAUAAGCCAGCUUGACUGCGAGCGUGACGGCGCGAGCAGGUGCGAAAGCAGGUCAUAGUGAUCCGGUGGUUCUGAAUGGAAGGGCCAUCGCUCAACGGAUAAAAGGUACUCCGGGGAUAACAGGCUGAUACCGCCCAAGAGUUCAUAUCGACGGCGGUGUUUGGCACCUCGAUGUCGGCUCAUCACAUCCUGGGGCUGAAGUAGGUCCCAAGGGUAUGGCUGUUCGCCAUUUAAAGUGGUACGCGAGCUGGGUUUAGAACGUCGUGAGACAGUUCGGUCCCUAUCUGCCGUGGGCGCUGGAGAACUGAGGGGGGCUGCUCCUAGUACGAGAGGACCGGAGUGGACGCAUCACUGGUGUUCGGGUUGUCAUGCCAAUGGCACUGCCCGGUAGCUAAAUGCGGAAGAGAUAAGUGCUGAAAGCAUCUAAGCACGAAACUUGCCCCGAGAUGAGUUCUCCCUGACUCCUUGAGGGUCCUGAAGGAACGUUGAAGACGACGACGUUGAUAGGCCGGGUGUGUAAGCGCAGCGAUGCGUUGAGCUAACCGGUACUAAUGAACCGUGAGGCUUAACCUU